GUAGGGCAGCUUACUGACUUCGGGGACGAUAACGGCGUCGAGCGGCGGACGGGUGAGUAAUGCCUAGGAAAUUGCCCUGAUGUGGGGGAUAACCAUUGGAAACGAUGGCUAAUACCGCAUGAUGCCUACGGGCCAAAGAGGGGGACCUUCGGGCCUCUCGCGUCAGGAUAUGCCUAGGUGGGAUUAGCUAGUUGGUGAGGUAAGGGCUCACCAAGGCGACGAUCCCUAGCUGGUCUGAGAGGAUGAUCAGCCACACUGGAACUGAGACACGGUCCAGACUCCUACGGGAGGCAGCAGUGGGGAAUAUUGCACAAUGGGCGCAAGCCUGAUGCAGCCAUGCCGCGUGUGUGAAGAAGGCCUUCGGGUUGUAAAGCACUUUCAGUCGUGAGGAAGGUAGUGUAGUUAAUAGCUGCAUUAUUUGACGUUAGCGACAGAAGAAGCACCGGCUAACUCCGUGCCAGCAGCGGCGAUAAUUAA
This 477-nucleotide ribosomal RNA is filed under the name Vibrio owensii. Its description in RNAcentral is "bacterial SSU rRNA". It matches the Rfam family "Bacterial small subunit ribosomal RNA", at positions 61 to 525 of the family's 1533-position model. Lineage: Bacteria; Pseudomonadati; Pseudomonadota; Gammaproteobacteria; Vibrionales; Vibrionaceae. The record is from RNAcentral.